AUUUUUUCGGUGUUAGGCACAAGAAGAUUUGGGCUUCUUAGAGGGCAUUGCCCAAAAAAUA
Molecule: transfer RNA, 61 nt
Filed under: Placida sp. 1 NY-2013
Lineage: Eukaryota; Metazoa; Mollusca; Gastropoda; Limapontiidae
Description: tRNA-Gln
Source: RNAcentral